Oxalobacter formigenes is the source of this 328-nucleotide non-coding RNA. It matches the Rfam family "Bacterial RNase P class A". Rfam says of the family: Ribonuclease P (RNase P) is a ubiquitous endoribonuclease, found in archaea, bacteria and eukarya as well as chloroplasts and mitochondria. Its best characterised activity is the generation of mature 5'-ends of tRNAs by cleaving the 5'-leader elements of precursor-tRNAs. The record is from Rfam. NCBI's taxonomy places the organism in Bacteria, Pseudomonadati, Pseudomonadota, Betaproteobacteria, Burkholderiales, Oxalobacteraceae.
GAAGCAAGCCAGGCAGCCGCCGGUUUCCGGUCUUUUCCGGAAACGGGAGGAAGGUCCGGACACCACAGGACAGGGUGACGGUUAACGGCCGUCCGUCGAAAACCGAGAGGCAUAAGACGAGGAACAGGGCCACAGAGACGAGCGUAUUAAGUUACGGUGAAACGCGGCAACCUCCACCCGGUGCAAUUCCAAAUAGGCACGCUAUGAUGCGGUCCGCGGAGCGUGCGGGUAGGAAGCUCGAGCGCCGGAGCAAUCCGGCGCCUAGAUGAAUGGCUGUCAUAGUACUAAGGUACCGUAACAGAAUCCGGCCUAUCGGCUUGCUUUUUUC